UACAGAGGUCUCAAGCGUUGUUCGGAUUCAUUGGGCGUAAAGGGUGCGUAGGUGGCGCCGUAAGUCAGGUGUGAAAUUUCGGAGCUUAACUCCGAAACUGCAUUUGAUACUGCGGUGCUUGAGGACUGGAGAGGAGACUGGAAUUUACGGUGUAGCAGUGAAAUGCGUAGAGAUCGUAAGGAAGACCAGUGGCGAAGGCGGGUCUCUGGAUAGUUCCUGACACUGAGGCACGAAGGCCAGGGGAGCAAACGGG
Molecule: ribosomal RNA, 253 nt
Filed under: uncultured bacterium
Lineage: Bacteria
Description: partial 16S ribosomal RNA
Rfam family: Bacterial small subunit ribosomal RNA
Source: RNAcentral